Molecule: ribosomal RNA, 491 nt
Filed under: uncultured bacterium
Lineage: Bacteria
Description: partial 16S ribosomal RNA
Rfam family: Bacterial small subunit ribosomal RNA
Source: RNAcentral
AGUGAACGCUGGCGGUAGGCCUAACACAUGCAAGUCGAACGGCAGCACAGUAAGAGCUUGCUCUUACGGGUGGCGAGUGGCGGACGGGUGAGGAAUACAUCGGAAUCUACUUUUUCGUGGGGGAUAACGUAGGUAAACUUACGCUAAUACCGCAUACGACCUACGGGUGAAAGCAGGGGAUCUUCGGACCUUGCGCGAUUGAAUGAGCCGAUGUCGGAUUAGCUAGUUGGCGGGGUAAAGGCCCACCAAGGCGACGAUCCGUAGCUGGUCUGAGAGGAUGAUCAGCCACACUGGAACUGAGACACGGUCCAGACCCCUACGGGAGGCAGCAGUGGGGAAGAUUGGACAAUGGGCGCAAGCCUGAUCCAGCCAUACCGCGUGGGUGAAGAAGGCCUUCGGGUUGUAAAGCCCUUUUGUUGGGAAAGAAAAGCAGCAGGUUAAUACCACGCUGUUCUGACGGUACCCAAAGAAUAAGCACCGGCUAACUUCGU